Lipotes vexillifer (Yangtze River dolphin) is the source of this 72-nucleotide non-coding RNA. NCBI's taxonomy places the organism in Eukaryota, Metazoa, Chordata, Mammalia, Artiodactyla, Lipotidae. The record is from the annotation of a RefSeq genome assembly.
UCCCAGGUGGUCUAGUGGUUAGGAUUCGGCACUUUCACUGCCAUGUCCCAGGUUCAAUCCCUGGCUGGGGAA